UACGUAGGUGACAAGCGUUAUCCGGAAUUACUGGGCGUAAAGCGCCCGCAGGCGGUCGAGUAAGUCCGAUGUGAAAUCUUCUGGCUUAACUGGAAGCGGUCGUUGGAUACUGCUCGGCUUGAGGCAAAGAGAGGAGUGCAGAAUUCCUGGUGUAGUGGUGGAAUGCGUAGAGAUCAGGAGGAAUAUCUGUGGCGAAAGCGGCACUCUGGCUUUGACCUGACGCUCAGGGGCGAAAGCGUGGGGAGCGAACGGG
This 253-nucleotide ribosomal RNA is filed under the name uncultured bacterium. RNAcentral describes it as "partial 16S ribosomal RNA". It matches the Rfam family "Bacterial small subunit ribosomal RNA", at positions 524 to 776 of the family's 1533-position model. The record is from RNAcentral.